This 468-nucleotide ribosomal RNA is filed under the name uncultured bacterium. Its description in RNAcentral is "partial 16S ribosomal RNA". It matches the Rfam family "Bacterial small subunit ribosomal RNA", at positions 28 to 507 of the family's 1533-position model. The record is from RNAcentral.
GACGAACGCUGGCGGCGUGCUUAACACAUGCAAGUCGAACGGAAAGGCCCUGCUUUUGUGGGGUGCUCGAGUGGCGAACGGGUGAGUAACACGUGAGUAACCUGCCCUUGACUUUGGGAUAACUUCAGGAAACUGGGGCUAAUACCGGAUAGGAGCUCCUGCUGCAUGGUGGGGGUUGGAAAGUUUCGGCGGUUGGGGAUGGACUCGCGGCUUAUCAGCUUGGUGGUGGGGUAGUGGCUUACCAAGGCUUUCCCGGGUAGCCGGCCUGAGAGGGUGACCUGCCACAUUGGGACUGAGAGACGGCCCAGACUCCUACGGGAGGCAGCAGUGGGGAAUAUUGCACUAUGGGCGGAAGCCUGAUGCAGCAACGCCGCGUGCGGGAUGACGGCCUUCGGGUUGUAAACCGCUUUCGCCUGUGACGAAGCGUGAGUGACGGUAAUGGGUAAAGAAGCACCGGCUAACUACGUG